RNAcentral lists this transfer RNA (25 nucleotides) under Helocordulia uhleri. Its description in RNAcentral is "partial tRNA-Gly". The record is from RNAcentral. Lineage: Eukaryota; Metazoa; Arthropoda; Insecta; Odonata; Corduliidae.
AAAAAGUCUGAAUCCUUCAGAACAA